This is a long non-coding RNA of Macadamia integrifolia, 1801 nucleotides long. RefSeq lists it as uncharacterized. The record is from RefSeq and is a predicted model, not a curated record. The transcript is spliced from 2 exons. Lineage: Eukaryota; Viridiplantae; Streptophyta; Magnoliopsida; Proteales; Proteaceae.
AUUUCUCGGAAUGCGAAGUUGGAUAUGGCAAUAACUUCGAAGUUGGGGAUCAAGUGGAGGUUUCAGUAGAAAUUUUGGAAAUGAUGGGUGGAGGAAGUUUGCAAGUGAAGAGGUGUGGAGUCCUGCUUGUCCACAGGCCAGAUGAGGAGAAGAACCUAUCAGAUGAUCGAUCGAUGGUGGAAUAUAUGUCUGCUUCUGUUGGUGAUGUUGUUAUGGAUAGAAAAGAAUCAGUAUUGGUUCACAUCGAAGAUGAGAAUGAGAGUGGCCACAAUGAGGGCAUUGCAGGAUUUGGCAUUGAUGCCAAAAGAUUGGGGAUUGGCCUGUGAUUCCUGCAUUAGUUACCAUUUCCGAUGGGUAACACAAGCCCAUUGUAGAGACAUCCAUUUGCAAGCUGGAUAUCCUCAUACCCAUGUGAGAAUGUUGUUGGAGCAGAAACCGAGCUCUUCCUCUUCUCGUUCUUGUAUUGAAUCCUGUGAGUACAGUCUAUUCAUUUAAGAUAAUUAGAUUUGGAAUGCGGGUGUUGAUGCCAGUAGAUCCAAAUUAACCAGUUGACAGAUCAAUGAUAUUCUGUGUAUAUUCUUUAUUAAUUAUUUCAUUGACCCCUACAGAUUGGUUCUUCACUCAAAUCGGUAGGGUAGCAGCAGUAUUCUCCUGUGGAGGAUAAGGUUUAUAUAAUGGGACAGGAAUGAAUGUCAUAGGCAACUGCUUAAUCGUUUAAUCCUUUGGAACAUAAUUUAUUUCUUUUUUGGAUAAAUUAUAUAAAAUUUCUUAUUUGCAGCACAAAAGGUUACAUUUCAGUACUAAGCAUAGCAUGAGCACAUUGCACAGAAAGCAUAGCAUCAGCACACUGUACAGAAAGCAUAGCAUGAGCACAUUGCACAGAAGCUGAGAAAAACCCUCUUGAGAAUUUCUUAUUUACAGCAUAAAAUGUAAAAUUUUAGUACUGAUCAGAAGGGUGGGGGUGGUGGUGUUCAUUUUCAGGUUUAUUGCACUGCGUGGGUCCAGAUUUGGGCCUUCUGGGCUGAUUUGUUUGCCUCAUCCUGAAUAUGUUCUUUCCAUUUUCAACCGGAGUGCAGGUCUUCAAACUUGCAGCAUAGGCCUUUCCCAUCAAGCCGUGCAACAGCCGCACAUAGUUUUUCUUUUAAUAAUAAUAAAAAAAAAUGUUUCUGCAAGAAAUGAACUGUUUGAAUGCAAAAAAAGCUACAAGGAAAAGUUAUAAGAGAAUUAACAGUUGGUACUAAUUUUUGUAACAGAUUUACAAGCAUUGAUCCCCGCAAAGUUACAAAAAAUGGUACCACUUAAGAAUUGAGAAUAGGCUAGCAUGAAUUUGUUUGUAUAUUCUGUUUCCAGGUAUGUAGUCAAGAGAUGGGGCUAAGUGAACAUUUAUAGAUCAUUGGGAAAGGCAUUUUACAAGCAUAAAUUGAGUUGUUUUGGGCUGGGUCUGAAACAUGUGAUUUCCUAGGCAUUCUGCCCCCUGUCAAAGGAAUAUUUGAAUUGCCCAGGAAUCCCUACUUUUUCGAUCAUUCGACAAGCUAGACAUCCAAGAUCAAAGAAUCAGGGCACUCGAGAUAGGAGUAGGGGCCACAUGAGCGGGAUCUCCUCCAUUGGCUCAGGAAAACUUUGUCCACUUUUUAAUCGGACUUCAAGAAAGUAGGUGAUCUCAGUAAAGUCUCUGUUAUGGUUUCAGGUGGGAAGAUAAGGAUUUUUUUUCCUUGGUGGACAAUUUCUAUUUUAAAGUUUUUUUAAAGGGGUUUUUCCUCCCUCUGUAUAUAAAGAACGUCUUUGGGCACUUGAAAAGUGA